This is an RNA transcript of Piliocolobus tephrosceles (Ugandan red Colobus), 573 nucleotides long. RefSeq lists it as uncharacterized. The record is from RefSeq and is a predicted model, not a curated record. The transcript is spliced from 4 exons. NCBI's taxonomy places the organism in Eukaryota, Metazoa, Chordata, Mammalia, Primates, Cercopithecidae.
UUUCUUAAAUUUCUGUUUCUAAAAGCUUGCAUUCUGAGCAAAAAUCAGGUGGUAAAGCCUUGUAAUGAGCUGGAAGAUCUUAAUGAGAGUGAAUGUUUGAGCUACAAAUGCUGUUUUUCAUCAUUGGAGAGCAUGAGCUUCAAAUGUUUUGCUCCAUUAAGAGAUGAGCCUAAACAGAUGAUGCGAAUGUUUGGGCUUGGUGCAAUCAGCCUGCUCAUCCUGGGAUAUCUGCCUAUUUAUUGCUGCUGUCUUUUCUGGAGGAGCAAAUGGGCCGAGUAUUUACGAACGAAGGUCAGCAGAGUUAUAACGGGUUUGAAGAAACAAAGAAGGAAACGAAAGAAGUCUAGAAUGUUACAGAGAGCAGCAAGAGGAGAUGAGGGACAUGGUGAAGAGUAGCAAGAGACCAAAGCAUUAUUUUCCCCUUGAGACAACACAAACCAUUCAGAGCAGAGGGGACUGUCUCAGCCAUCAAAACCUCGUGGAGCAUUUUGAAAAGUUAAAAAUUGGUUUUUAUUUUUGUCGUGUUUACUUUCAAACAUGAAAUAAAAUUGAGUUCUGUUUUCAUGCAUCAAA